Molecule: long non-coding RNA, 491 nt
Organism: Fundulus heteroclitus (mummichog)
Lineage: Eukaryota; Metazoa; Chordata; Actinopteri; Cyprinodontiformes; Fundulidae
Exons: 2
Source: RefSeq, a predicted model, not a curated record
GUCACUGUGUAUCUUGGGAAUCUGUUGUAGGUUUUGAGACAAGUCUUGCUCAGCUUCAGUUGUCCAGAGGUUUGGAUCUCCCACAAGGGUUUGCCAGUAAUAACUUUACUGUUCUAGUGUGGGACAAUGUAGAUUUUGGAGAGGAAACAUCGUCAGGGAAGGGUACCACCCAUCACACUAUUUUCUAUUGUAAUUCUGAAGUCGUAACAACCUGAAGUGAUCCUAAAAAGUUUAACAUCUCUUGCUGGGUCCAACAAAAGUCAUUGUUUAAAAACAGAAAUGUUUUCGUGCCUAGUUUUCACUGUUCAAAUUUUAGCUGUGUAAAAUUUUGCUUCCAAUAUUGUAACUGGUCUGCUAGGUGAUAAAAUUCACACCACUUUUCAUAGUUAUUAGUUAACCAGACACAAAAGGAGAUCUUGCUAUUAGAGUUUUUCAAUUGAAAAUUCAAAGAAUUGCAGUUUUCAUGUGCAAUAAAGAUAUAUUAUGGGCAA